RNAcentral lists this ribosomal RNA (207 nucleotides) under uncultured bacterium. Its description in RNAcentral is "partial 16S ribosomal RNA". It matches the Rfam family "Bacterial small subunit ribosomal RNA", at positions 568 to 774 of the family's 1533-position model. The record is from RNAcentral.
CGUACAGGCGGCCAUGUAAGUCGGGUGUGAAAUCCCCGGGCUUAACCCGGGAUCUGCAUUCGAUACUGCUUGGCUUGAGAUCAGGAGAGGAGAGUGGAAUAUGUGGUGUAGCGGUGAAAUGCGUAGAUAUCACAUAGAACACCGGUGGCGAAGGCGGCUCUCUGGCCUGAUUCUGACGCUGACGCGCGAAAGCUAGGGUAGCGAACG